This 76-nucleotide transfer RNA is filed under the name Desmophyllum pertusum. RNAcentral describes it as "tRNA-Arg". The record is from RNAcentral. Lineage: Eukaryota; Metazoa; Cnidaria; Anthozoa; Scleractinia; Caryophylliidae.
GAUACCGUGGCCUAAUGGUUAGCGCGUUGAAUUCCGGAUCGAGUGGUCCGGGUUCGAGCCCUGGCCUGGGUCAUUG